UUAAUCAUCGUCUGAUAAGUGGGAAUGGCGUCUUCAGUGAUCAUGUCACCCACCAGCACAACAAAGUAAUCGUCAGGUAGCCCCGCAGUGCGUUCACGUAGGGCCCUGACUUGGUCAGUGAAGUCCGAAAAAGGCAGCGUCGGAUCGGGUAAGAAGUCUUGGGGCUGCCAGCAUUUCUCUACUGGUUUGAGUAAUGGUAACACGUUAUUGGUGGCCCAGGUUUCUAGUGACUUGAAGACUUCGACUUUUUCGGGUGGCAUUGAAUGUGUUUUUGGUUUCGGUGGUGCUGCGACGGCGGAGAUUUGCAGGAAUCGGACGGUGGAGGAUGCGGCGGUGAGACGAUGGUGGGCGGGAUUUGGGACAAGUGG
RNAcentral lists this long non-coding RNA (368 nucleotides) under Citrus maxima (pomelo). RNAcentral's name for it is "long non-coding RNA (CMAX_LNC001586)". Lineage: Eukaryota; Viridiplantae; Streptophyta; Magnoliopsida; Sapindales; Rutaceae. The record is from RNAcentral.